GACGAACGCUGGCGGCGUGCCUAAUACAUGCAAGUAGAACGCUGAAGGAGGAGCUUGCUUCUCUGGAUGAGUUGCGAACGGGUGAGUAACGCGUAGGUAACCUGCCUGGUAGCGGGGGAUAACUAUUGGAAACGAUAGCUAAUACCGCAUAAUAGUAGAUGUCGCAUGACAUUUGCUUAAAAGGUGCAAUUGCAUCACUACCAGAUGGACCUGCGUUGUAUUAGCUAGUUGGUGAGGUAACGGCUCACCAAGGCAACGAUACAUAGCCGACCUGAGAGGGGGAUCGGCCACACUGGGACUGAGACACGGCCCAGACUCCUACGGGAGGCAGCAGUAGGGAAUCUUCGGCAAUGGACGGAAGUCUGACCGAGCAACGCCGCGUGAGUGAAGAAGGGUGUCGGAUCGUAAAGCUCGGUUGUAAGAGAAGAACGAGUGUGAGAGUGGAAAGUUCACACUGUGACGGUAUCUUACCAGAAAGGGACGGCUAACUACGUG
This 495-nucleotide ribosomal RNA is filed under the name uncultured bacterium. RNAcentral's name for it is "partial 16S ribosomal RNA". It matches the Rfam family "Bacterial small subunit ribosomal RNA", at positions 28 to 507 of the family's 1533-position model. The record is from RNAcentral.